UAGUAAUGGGAUGCUAGUGAAUUAUUG
This 27-nucleotide small RNA is filed under the name Bombyx mori (domestic silkworm). RNAcentral's name for it is "ovarian small RNA-22869". Lineage: Eukaryota; Metazoa; Arthropoda; Insecta; Lepidoptera; Bombycidae. The record is from RNAcentral.